UGGGGAAUAUUGCACAAUGGAGGAAACUCUGAUGCAGCGACGCCGCGUGAGCGAAGAAGUAUUUCGGUAUGUAAAGCUCUAUCAGCAGGGAAGAAAAAGGACGGUACCUGACUAAGAAGCUCCGGCUAAAUACGUGCCAGCAGCCGCGGUAAUACGUAUGGAGCAAGCGUUAUCCGGAUUUACUGGGUGUAAAGGGAGUGUAGGUGGUAGCACAAGUCAGAAGUGAAAGCCCGGGGCUCAACCCCGGGACUGCUUUUGAAACUGUGGAACUGGAGUGCAGGAGAGGUAAGUGGAAUUCCUAGUGUAGCGGUGAAAUGCGUAGAUAUUAGGAGGAACACCAGUGGCGAAGGCGGCUUACUGGACUGUAACUGACACUGAGGCUCGAAAGCGUGGGGAGCAAACA
This 403-nucleotide ribosomal RNA is filed under the name uncultured bacterium. RNAcentral describes it as "bacterial SSU rRNA". It matches the Rfam family "Bacterial small subunit ribosomal RNA", at positions 355 to 774 of the family's 1533-position model. The record is from RNAcentral.